RNAcentral lists this non-coding RNA (22 nucleotides) under Arabidopsis thaliana (thale cress). Lineage: Eukaryota; Viridiplantae; Streptophyta; Magnoliopsida; Brassicales; Brassicaceae. The record is from RNAcentral.
CUAUUGAUUCCCAAGUAAAUAG